ACAACUCUGGGCCCGCAAUGGCAGUCCACUGCCUUGCUGCAGUCACAGAAUGGAAAUCUGCAGAGGCCUCCGCAGUCACCUAAUCACUCUCCUCCUCUUCCUGUUCCAUUCAGAGACGGUCUGCCGACCCUCUGGGAGAAAAUCCAGCAAGAUGCAAGCCUUCAGAAUCUGGGAUGUUAACCAGAAGACCUUCUAUCUGAGGAACAACCAACUAGUGGCUGGAUACUUGCAAGGACCAAAUGUCAAUUUAGAAGGUGAGUGGUUGCCAGGAAAGCCAAUGUAUGUGGGCAUUGCGUCACUUUGCCCCUCUGUCUGCAGCAGCAUGGCCUGCCUGCACAAACCCUAGGUGCAAUGUCCUAAUCCUUGUUGGGUCUUUGUAUUCAAGUUUGAAGCUGGGAGGGCCUGGCUACUAAAGGGCACAUAUGAGGGCAGCCUGAAGAGGGUGUGGAGAGGUAGAGUCUAGGUCAGGGGUCAGUGCCUAUAGGCACAGUGGUCCCAGGGCCACAGCUGGGAAGGGCAAAUACCCGAAGGCAAGGUUGACUAUUCCCUUCCUCAAGUGCCUAUUAAGGCUC
RNAcentral lists this small RNA (572 nucleotides) under Pan troglodytes (chimpanzee). Its description in RNAcentral is "retained intron". Lineage: Eukaryota; Metazoa; Chordata; Mammalia; Primates; Hominidae. The record is from RNAcentral.